GGGGAUACAGGGACAUGGCAACACAAGAACAUGGGGACACGGGGACGCGGGGACGUGGGGACACGGGGACAUGGGGACACGGGGACAGGGGGACACGGGGGCAGGGGCAUGGGGAGGCCGCCCCCCCUCCGCUCCCUGCCCGCAGGAGCCGGCGGCGGUCCCGGGCUCGGGCUCGUCCCCGCCGCCGCGUUGGGUCUGGCGGUGGGUUUUGGUGGCAUCUCUCCGUUUCGUUUUUAUUAUUUUUUAAGCCUAAAGGGGUGGUAGUUUGCCGGCAGAAGAGGAAUAAAUGACCCCCCCCCCCCCUCCUUCCGUACGUGUUGUGGGUGCUGGGUCCGUGAAUGCGAUUCCUCGGGAGAUUAAAGUCUAAAUUAAAGCGUGCUGGAAAACGCUGGCUCCUGCCGUAAUAGUAAUAGCGAUAAUAAUAAAAUGACAGAAUUGGGAGCGAUUUGCGUGCUAUUGAAGAGGAGGAAUUGCUGAAGAGUAAUAAUAGAAAAGAAAACAAGUCGGAAGCCCGUUAUAUAAUGCACUGUGUAGAUAACAAGAACGACGGGCUAUUUUUAUUUUGUUUACCGUAUGCCGUGUAAUAGGGACUCCUCCAAGCAGCAUCUCUCUCCCCCGAGCCCGAGCUCCGGCUAGGAUCGGGCAAAAUUCAGAUCGUUCCUCCUGUGCCCAGCUGGAGAAACUGGGGUUUGUAAAACGUUCACCCUCGCAAACGUUUUCUUUGUGCGGAUGGGGAAUUGUGCAGGUACAUGACCUUUGCUUGGAGACCUUCUCCGUUUCAUAUGGUAAAGAAAUUCAUAUUUUGCAAGGCAGGUUACACUUUAACCUUUAAUGCUCACGGUUAUGUGUUUUAUGCAGUAAGGGUUACUUUACGUGUCAGAUGUGGUCAGGCGUAGUGAGUUGCUUUGCUUACAUACUGGGAAGUCAAGGACUUUUAAUUUCAGUUUCGAACGAAGCCUUCCACUACAGGAAAAUCCAGGCUUUGCCUCCAUCCCUUUCUGCUGGGCUGGUGCAGGCAGUUCAGUUCCCUGGCGAGGGCUAUGAAUGGGGGAGAGGGAAAUUGAGGAUGGCCGGGGAAGGCGCAGUCAUUUUGGAGAUGCUGCGGGCUAAUACUUCUGGAUCAAGAGUCACGUUGCAGGCCAAGCCAGACGGGAAAGCAAUACAAGCUGUGAAUUUAUUGUUGACCCCUGUAGCACAGUGA
This 1201-nucleotide long non-coding RNA is filed under the name Anser cygnoides (Swan goose). RNAcentral describes it as "lncRNA (ENSACDG00005003728.1)". Lineage: Eukaryota; Metazoa; Chordata; Aves; Anseriformes; Anatidae. The record is from RNAcentral.